AAUAAACAAUAGCGGAGUGGAGUGACUAGCGCGGGUGUAGUGGAUGACGAUGGAGGGAAUUCACACACUCCGUGUCAAAGUCAAACUCCAACCACCUCCCCAACUUUUAUCCCUCUCCCUUACCCAUUUCCUCGGUUCCUCGCCCCCACCUGCCUUCUUCUCUCUCCUUCUCUCCUUCUCUCCUUCUCUCUGACCCUGUCUGCAACAAACCCAAAUCCCAAAAUGACAGCCAUGAGCAACCUCAGCUCAGACGUCACAGAGCUCAUCUUCUCCUACCUCCCAAUCCCAACCCUCAUCCGCGCCUCCACCGUAUGCAAGCUCUGGCACUCCAUCAUCUCCUCCUCCACCUUCUCCCAGCUCUCCACCCAAUCCCAGAAAUACCCCUGGUUCUUCCUCUACGGCAUCCACAACACAUCCUCCAACUUCAACCAGUCCUUCGCCUUCGACCCAGUCUCCAAUCUCUGGUUCCGCCUUCCCUCCCCCACCUUCCCUUCCCAGUCCUCCUCCUUCCUCGGCGUCGAUGGCUUCUUCCUCAUCACCGCCCCAUUCUUCACCUUCUCCCCAAUCCUCAAGCGCCAUUCGCACUCCACCUCCCCUCUCCGCUUCUCCCGCAUCAACCCCCUUGUCGGCGUCUUCGACUCUGGCUCGUCGUCUCCGCCAAGCUUCAUCGUCGUCGGCGGCGUCCGCUUCAUCGGCAAUUUGGUCGACAUCGAGGACCGUUUGGCUGUGGAGAUUUACAAUCCCAAUUCCGAUUCUUGGCUCCUCUGCCCUCCUCUCCCCGCCGAUUUCCGCUCCGGCAACUCGUCCCAGUCUCUCUCAUCGGCCCUCUUCAAGCGCCGGUUCUACGUCUUCGGCAUCUACUCCUGCUUCAUUUCCUCAUUUGAUCUCCACACCCAUCUCUGGAGCGAGGUCCAGACCCUCCGCCCACCCGGGGUCGUCUUCUCCUUCUUGAUUUCCUGCAUGGACCGGCUCGUUCUAGCUGGAAUCUGCAACGGCCCCCUUGGGUCCUCCUUCAAUUUGUGGAAGAUCGAGGAGGCCACCAUGGAGUUCAGCGAGAUUGCGAUCAUGCCUCAUGACUUGUUGUAUGGGUUGUUCGAUGGGGAUGAAGAAGACAAGUUUGCAAGCUUGAAAUGCGUGGGGUUGGGCAAUCUGAUAUACGUGUUCAAUGAGGAGUAUCACAAAAAGUACCCAGCUUGUAUCUGUGAGAUUAGCAGUGAGGAUGGGAAGUGUAGAUGGAGGAAAGUGCCCCAAUUGCCUUCCCCUGUUAAUAAGUUCCAUAAAGUUGUUAGCUUUUCGUCCACAGUUUCGCUUCAUAGUAUUCUUCAGAGUGAAGGAGGAGGAGAUGUUGUUGUUCCUUUGCAGCCCAUGUUUGACUGAUAUUUGCUUCCUCAAUUUCUUGGUAUGAAUUCAUUCAUGUUCUGUUUUCUUGUUCAUUUAUAGCUUUUUGGUUUGUGUUACUCUGUCUGCUUGGCAUUAGUGUGAGAUUUUUCGAGUUUGGAAUUGCAGUUUGUAAGGCUGUUCUUGGUGGGUUUGAAUUGUUCAGUAGGAUUUGCUUAGCUACAAUGGUUCCUUAUUGAAUUUGCUCCAUCUUUCACGGAAAAUUUUCAUAGCUGGGUUACUUGGCCAAGAAAAAAGAGCAUGUUUCAAAUGUGUAGAUAAUGCUGGAUGGUGGUCCUUUUAUAUCGCCUAGCAUCUUCUUGUCCCUUGUGUAGAUGAUGUUUAAAAAGCUUCUAUACAACAGACGAGCAAAUUAAAUCAUUGACGUUUAUCUACCUUCUCGUCCGUCCCGGUUAAAGACAUCCUGACCCCUUGUAUUAUUCUGCUUAAUUUCGUAGCAUCUGUAUAGUAAGUACUCUUAUUGUUUGUGUUAUCAUUUGACGUCAAUGAUCUGAUGUUUGGUAAACAUUUUGUAAGUUGAUAAUUUUUGGCUUCAAAGAAACAGUUUGUACUUUUAAGUUGGUAAUUUAUGCUACCCGGGGAAUUAAUUUUUGUACAUA
RNA transcript from Prunus persica (peach), 1997 nucleotides. It is a transcript of the gene named F-box/kelch-repeat protein At3g24760, with no coding region annotated. The record is from RefSeq and is a predicted model, not a curated record. Lineage: Eukaryota; Viridiplantae; Streptophyta; Magnoliopsida; Rosales; Rosaceae. The transcript is spliced from 2 exons.